RNAcentral lists this ribosomal RNA (481 nucleotides) under uncultured bacterium. RNAcentral describes it as "partial 16S ribosomal RNA". It matches the Rfam family "Bacterial small subunit ribosomal RNA", at positions 28 to 507 of the family's 1533-position model. The record is from RNAcentral.
GAUGAACGCUGGCGGCGUGCUUAACACAUGCAAGUCGAACGAAGCAUUUGCGACAGAUUUUUUCGGAAUGAAGUUGCUUAUGACUGAGUGGCGGACGGGUGAGUAACGCGUGGGUAACCUGCCUUGUACUGGGGGAUAGCAGCUGGAAACGGCUGGUAAUACCGCAUAAGCGCACAAUGUUGCAUGACAGGGUGUGAAAAACUCCGGUGGUAUAAGAUGGACCCGCGUCUGAUUAGCUAGUUGGUGAGAUAACAGCCCACCAAGGCGACGAUCAGUAGCCGACCUGAGAGGGUGACCGGCCACAUUGGGACUGAGACACGGCCCAGACUCCUACGGGAGGCAGCAGUGGGGAAUAUUGCACAAUGGAGGAAACUCUGAUGCAGCGACGCCGCGUGAGUGAAGAAGUAAUUCGUUAUGUAAAGCUCUAUCAGCAGGGAAGAUAGUGACGGUACCUGACUAAGAAGCUCCGGCUAAAUACGUA